Long non-coding RNA from Leucoraja erinaceus (little skate), 765 nucleotides. RefSeq lists it as uncharacterized. Lineage: Eukaryota; Metazoa; Chordata; Chondrichthyes; Rajiformes; Rajidae. The record is from RefSeq and is a predicted model, not a curated record. The transcript is spliced from 3 exons.
AGACACAGGAGCAAGGAUCAACUGUAUAGGGAUCUGAGGGGCAACAUUUCCCCACACAGAGUCUUGCCCAGAGUAGGGGAAUCGAGGACUAGAGGACACGGGUUUAAGGAGAGAGACACAGGAGCGGGGAUCAACUGUAUAGGGAUCUGAGGGGCAACUUUUCCCCACACAGAGUCUUGCCCAGAGUAGGGGAAUCGAGGACUAGAGGACACGGGUUUAAGGAGAGAGACACAGGAGCGGGGAUCAACUUGAUAGUCCCAUUUUUCCCCAUACAGUCUCUUGCCCAGAGGACACGGGUUUAAGGAGAGAGACACAGGAGCAAGGAUCAACUGUAUAUGGAUCUGAGGGGCAACUUUUCCCCACACAGAGUCUUGGCCAGAGGACACGGGUUUAAGGUGAGAGACACAGGAGCGAGGAGCAACUGUAUAGGGAUCUGAGGGGCAACUUUCCCCCACACAGUCUCUUGCCCAGAGGACACGGGUUUAAGGUGAGAGACACAGGAGCGGGGAUCAACUGUAUAUGGAUCUGAGGGGCAACUUUUCCCCACACAGAGUCUUGCCCAAAGUAGGGGAAUCGAGGACUAGAGGACACGGGUUUAAGGUGAGAGACACGGGGGCGGGAAAAAUCGAAUAGGGAUCUGAGGGGCAACUUUUCCACACAGUCUCUUGCCCAGAGGACAUGGGUUUAAGGAGAGAGACACAGGAGCGGGGAUCAACUGUAUAUGGAUCUGAGGGGCAACUUUCCCCCACAGAGUCUCUUGCCCAG